This 723-nucleotide ribosomal RNA is filed under the name Bacillus subtilis. Its description in RNAcentral is "bacterial SSU rRNA". It matches the Rfam family "Bacterial small subunit ribosomal RNA", at positions 44 to 751 of the family's 1533-position model. Lineage: Bacteria; Bacillati; Bacillota; Bacilli; Caryophanales; Bacillaceae. The record is from RNAcentral.
GUGCUAUACAUGCAAGUCGAGCGGACAGAUGGGAGCUUGCUCCCUGAUGUUAGCGGCGGACGGGUGAGUAACACGUGGGUAACCUGCCUGUAAGACUGGGAUAACUCCGGGAAACCGGGGCUAAUACCGGAUGCUUGUUUGAACCGCAUGGUUCAGACAUAAAAGGUGGCUUCGGCUACCACUUACAGAUGGACCCGCGGCGCAUUAGCUAGUUGGUGAGGUAACGGCUCACCAAGGCGACGAUGCGUAGCCGACCUGAGAGGGUGAUCGGCCACACUGGGACUGAGACACGGCCCAGACUCCUACGGGAGGCAGCAGUAGGGAAUCUUCCGCAAUGGACGAAAGUCUGACGGAGCAACGCCGCGUGAGUGAUGAAGGUUUUCGGAUCGUAAAGCUCUGUUGUUAGGGAAGAACAAGUGCCGUUCAAAUAGGGCGGCACCUUGACGGUACCUAACCAGAAAGCCACGGCUAACUACGUGCCAGCAGCCGCGGUAAUACGUAGGUGGCAAGCGUUGUCCGGAAUUAUUGGGCGUAAAGGGCUCGCAGGCGGUUUCUUAAGUCUGAUGUGAAAGCCCCCGGCUCAACCGGGGAGGGUCAUUGGAAACUGGGGAACUUGAGUGCAGAAGAGGAGAGUGGAAUUCCACGUGUAGCGGUGAAAUGCGUAGAGAUGUGGAGGAACACCAGUGGCGAAGGCGACUCUCUGGUCUGUAACUGACGCUGAGG